CAGCCGCCACGGGAAUACGAAGGGGGCUAGCGUUGCUCGGAAUUACUGGGCGUAAAGGGCGCGUAGGCGGACAGUUCAGUCGGGGGUGAAAGCCCGGGGCUCAACCUCGGAAUUGCCUUCGAUACUGGCUGUCUUGAGUAUGAGAGAGGUGUGUGGAACUCCGAGUGUAGAGGUGAAAUUCGUAGAUAUUCGGAAGAACACCAGUGGCGAAGGCGACACACUGGCUCAUUACUGACGCUGAGGCGCGAAAGCGUGGGGAGCAAACAGGAUUAGAUACCCCGGUAGUCCCUGUCUCUUAUAC
Molecule: ribosomal RNA, 301 nt
Filed under: uncultured bacterium
Lineage: Bacteria
Description: partial 16S ribosomal RNA
Rfam family: Bacterial small subunit ribosomal RNA
Source: RNAcentral